Long non-coding RNA from Equus caballus (horse), 1890 nucleotides. NCBI's taxonomy places the organism in Eukaryota, Metazoa, Chordata, Mammalia, Perissodactyla, Equidae. The record is from Ensembl.
AUUUUGCCUCAGUAACUCUGCCACUUUUGUAGCUGAAGGACAGCGUUGAUUGUGAAGAAGCAAUUUGGAGCAGUAGGAGGGUCAAAUGGGCCAUAAUUCUGGUGUUGAAGAGUGCGGCUGGCUGGGCAGGCACAGAGUUAACAACCAACAGAGCAGCCACCAGCUUGACAUCAGGAAGAAGAUGCCAGGAGCACAGAUGGUCCACAACCCAGCUAAUUAACUUCUGAAGAAGAAACAACAUCUAAUACAUCUUCUGUGAACAUAGAGUUUGGUUGGGCACAGUUGGGGCAGAGAACAAGCAGACCUCCUCAGCAACUCUUUUUUACCUCCUAAAAUGGUGGAGGGAGCCGGGCCCAUGGCCGUGCGGUUAGGUUUGCCUGCUCCUCUUCAGUGGCCCAGGGUUUCGCCGGUUCAGAUCCUGGGCAUGGACAUUGCACUGCUCAUCAAGCCAUGCUGAGUCGGCGUCCCAUAUGCCACAACUAGAAGGACCCACAACUACAAUAUACAACUAUGUACUGGGGGGAUUUGGAGAGAAAAAGCAGAAAAAAAAAAUGGUGGAGCACUCACCCACUUCCUAUGGAUAACCACCUACUCACAAGACCUGCAGAGAAGAAUUCCAAAUAAAUAUGGUAAACACUCUACCCUAAAGGAGGGGGAGCAUAACUCCUCACUCCUUAAGUAUGGGAUGCACAUAGUCACUUCCUUCCAAAAAGGACAGGAUGGAAAGAGUGUAACUUUACAGUGGAGAAACCUGAUAAACACUACUUCUGCCAGGUGAUGAAGCUCAACACCAAUAGUCAAAUUAUGCUAAUAGUAUGUACUCUUGAUAGGAUGUGAUGAAAAUGGCACUUGACCUCUGUGAUCUUCCUCCCCAAAACCCAUGACCCCAGUCUGAUCAUGAGAAAACCAUCAGACCAAUUCCAAUAGAGGGGCAUCCUACAGUAUACCUGAUGAGUAUUCCUCAAAACUCUCAAGGUCAUCAAAAACAGGGAACACCUGAGAAGCUGUCACAGCCAAGAGUAGCCCAAGGAGACAUGGCAACUAUGUAAUAUGGUAUCCUGGAUGGGAUCUUAGAAUGGAAAGAGGACAUUAAGUAAAAACUAAGGAAAUCUGAAUAAACUACAGACUUUGGUUAAUAAUAAUGUAUCAAUAUUGGUUCAUGAAUUGUAACAAAUGUACCAUGUAAUGUAAGAUGUUAAUAACAGAGAAAGCUGUGGGGAGGCAUAUGGGAACUCACUGUACCAUCUGCUCAAUUUUUCUGUGAAUUUAAACUAUUCUAAAAAAAUAAAAUCUAGUAGUAAUAAUAAUAAUACCUGCGGGAAUCAAAUGAAGACUAAGAGGGGACAAAAGCACCUCCAACCCCUUUAGGCUUCAUAGUCAUUUUCUUAGUUCUUUGGCUUUCGGACUUUCAUUCUUUUGGGGCACUUACAUUACACCCACCUCCUUAGAGCUUAUCCUACCACACACUGUCCGUAUUUCCCAUGACUGUCCUCCACGGGCCUCAUUCAGUCUCAUGGCUUCUGUCACUACCGCUCUUCCGGCGGUUUCCAAAUCUUGUCUGGUUCAGAUCACUGUUCAUCCAACUCGCUAUUACACAGCGCCCCCUAGACGUUUAAUUCAGCAUCUCCAAACCCAAACCCUGAUUCUUCCUAAACCCGUUUCUCUCAUUUCUUGUCUCAGUUCACAGAGAGGCCAGGAGCCUAAGCAUCCACCCCCAGACUUUCCUUUCUCACGGCUCCCGGCCAGUCAGUCCCCAAGUUCUGUCAAUGCCUCUUGCUUAGGGCCUUUUGUACUGUGCUCUCCUUUCCAUUCCGCAGCCAGGCUCUCAGCACCCCUGGGCUCCCUGCCUUCAGGUAUUCUCUUCUGCUCCCUGUCUUUUCUUGCUUCAUU